AUUGAACGCUGGCGGCAGGCCUAACACAUGCAAGUCGAAUGGUAACAGGAAACAGCUUGCUGUUUCGCUGACGAGUGGCGGACGGGUGAGUAAUGUCUGGGAAACUGCCUGAUGGAGGGGGAUAACUACCGGAAACGGUAGCUAAUACCGCAUAACGUCGCAAGACCAAAGAGGGGGACCUUCGGGCCUCUUGCCAUCAGAUGUGCCCAGAUGGGAUUAGCUAGUAGGUGGGGUAACGGCUCACCUAGGCGACGAUCCCUAGCUGGUCUGAGAGGAUGACCAGCCACACUGGAACUGAGACACGGUCCAGACUCCUACGGGAGGCAGCAGUGGGGAAUAUUGCACAAUGGGCGCAAGCCUGAUGCAGCCAUGCCGCGUGUAUGAAGAAGGCCUUCGGGUUGUAAAGUACUUUCAGCGGGGAGGAAGGGAGUAAAGUUAAUACCUUUGCUCAUUGACGUUACCCGCAGAAGAAGCACCGGCUAACUCCGUG
RNAcentral lists this ribosomal RNA (490 nucleotides) under uncultured bacterium. RNAcentral's name for it is "partial 16S ribosomal RNA". It matches the Rfam family "Bacterial small subunit ribosomal RNA", at positions 30 to 507 of the family's 1533-position model. The record is from RNAcentral.